GGGUUGUGAGGUUAAGCGACUAAGCGUACACGGUGGAUGCCCUGGCAGUCAGAGGCGAUGAAGGACGUGCUAAUCUGCGAAAAGCGACGGCGAGGUGAUAUGAACCUUUGACCCGUCGAUGUCCGAAUGGGGAAACCCAGUGUGUUUCGACACACUAUCGUUAACUGAAUACAUAGGUUAACGAGGCGAACCGGGGGAACUGAAACAUCUAAGUACCCCGAGGAAAAGAAAUCAACCGAGAUUCCCCCAGUAGCGGCGAGCGAACGGGGAGCAGCCCGGAGUCUGAAUCAGCUUGUGUGUUAGUGGAAGCGUCUGGAAAGUCGCACGGUACAGGGUGACAGUCCCGUACACGAAAAUGCACAGGUUGUGAACUCGAAGAGUAGGGCGGGACACGUGGUAUCCUGUCUGAAUAUGGGGGGACCAUCCUCCAAGGCUAAAUACUCCUGACUGACCGAUAGUGAACCAGUACCGUGAGGGAAAGGCGAAAAGAACCCCGGCGAGGGGAGUGAAAAAGAACCUGAAACCGUGUACGUACAAGCAGUGGGAGCACCUUCGUGGUGUGACUGCGUACCUUUUGUAUAAUGGGUCAGCGACUUAUAUUCUGUAGCAAGGUUAACCGUAUAGGGGAGCCGCAGGGAAACCGAGUCUUAACUGGGCGUUAAGUUGCAGGGUAUAGACCCGAAACCCGGUGAUCUAGCCAUGGGCAGGUUGAAGGUUGGGUAACACUAACUGGAGGACCGAACCGACUAAUGUUGAAAAAUUAGCGGAUGACCUGUGGCUGGGGGUGAAAGGCCAAUCAAACCGGGAGAUAGCUGGUUCUCCCCGAAAGCUAUUUAGGUAGCGCCUCGUGAACUCAUCUUCGGGGGUAGAGCACUGUUUCGGCUAGGGGGCCAUCCCGGCUUACCAACCCGAUGCAAACUACGAAUACCGAAGAAUGUUAUCACGGGAGACACACGGCGGGUGCUAACGUCCGUCGUGAAGAGGGAAACAACCCAGACCGCCAGCUAAGGUCCCAAAGUCAUGGUUAAGUGGGAAACGAUGUGGGAAGGCACAGACAGCCAGGAUGUUGGCUUAGAAGCAGCCAUCAUUUAAAGAAAGCGUAAUAGCUCACUGGUCGAGUCGGCCUGCGCGGAAGAUGUAACGGGGCUAAACCAUGCACCGAAGCUGCGGCAGCGACACUAUGUGUUGUUGGGUAGGGGAGCGUUCUGUAAGCCGUUGAAGGUGUGCUGUGAGGCAUGCUGGAGGUAUCAGAAGUGCGAAUGCUGACAUAAGUAACGAUAAAGCGGGUGAAAAGCCCGCUCGCCGGAAGACCAAGGGUUCCUGUCCAACGUUAAUCGGGGCAGGGUGAGUCGACCCCUAAGGCGAGGCCGAAAGGCGUAGUCGAUGGGAAACAGGUUAAUAUUCCUGUACUUGGUGUUACUGCGAAGGGGGGACGGAGAAGGCUAUGUCAGCCGGGCGACGGUUGUCCCGGUUUAAGCGUGUAGGUGUGUGUUCCAGGCAAAUCCGGUUCACUUUAACACUGAGGCGUGAUGACGAGGCACUACGGUGCUGAAGUGAUAAAUGCCCUGCUUCCAGGAAAAGCCUCUAAGCAUCAGGUAACACGAAAUCGUACCCCAAACCGACACAGGUGGUCAGGUAGAGAAUACCAAGGCGCUUGAGAGAACUCGGGUGAAGGAACUAGGCAAAAUGGUGCCGUAACUUCGGGAGAAGGCACGCUGAUAUGUAGGUGAAGUCCCUGCGGACGGAGCUGAAAUCAGUCGAAGAUACCAGCUGGCUGCAACUGUUUAUUAAAAACACAGCACUGUGCAAACACGAAAGUGGACGUAUACGGUGUGACGCCUGCCCGGUGCCGGAAGGUUAAUUGAUGGGGUUAGCGGCAACGCGAAGCUCUUGAUCGAAGCCCCGGUAAACGGCGGCCGUAACUAUAACGGUCCUAAGGUAGCGAAAUUCCUUGUCGGGUAAGUUCCGACCUGCACGAAUGGCGUAAUGAUGGCCAGGCUGUCUCCACCCGAGACUCAGUGAAAUUGAACUCGCUGUGAAGAUGCAGUGUACCCGCGGCACGACGGAAAGACCCCGUGAACCUUUACUAUAGCUUGACACUGAACACUGGUCCUUGAUGUGUAGGAUAGGUGGGAGGCUUUGAAGCGUGGACGCCAGUCUGCGUGGAGCCGUACUUGAAAUACCACCCUUUAAUGGCUGGUGUUCUAACGUGGACCCGUAAUCCGGGUUGCGGACAGUGUCUGGUGGGUAGUUUGACUGGGGCGGUCUCCUCCCAAAGAGUAACGGAGGAGCACGAAGGUUAGCUAAUCCUGGUCGGACAUCAGGAGGUUAGUGCAAUGGCAUAAGCUAGCUUGACUGCGAGAGUGACGGCUCGAGCAGGUGCGAAAGCAGGUCAUAGUGAUCCGGUGGUUCUGAAUGGAAGGGCCAUCGCUCAACGGAUAAAAGGUACUCCGGGGAUAACAGGCUGAUACCGCCCAAGAGUUCAUAUCGACGGCGGUGUUUGGCACCUCGAUGUCGGCUCAUCACAUCCUGGGGCUGAAGUAGGUCCCAAGGGUAUGGCUGUUCGCCAUUUAAAGUGGUACGCGAGCUGGGUUUAGAACGUCGUGAGACAGUUCGGUCCCUAUCUGCCGUGGGCGCUGGAGAAUUGAGGGGGGCUGCUCCUAGUACGAGAGGACCGGAGUGGACGCAUCACUGGUGUUCGGGUUGUCAUGCCAAUGGCACUGCCCGGUAGCUAAAUGCGGAAGAGAUAAGUGCUGAAAGCAUCUAAGCACGAAACUUGCCCCGAGAUGAGUUCUCCCUGAGACUUUAAGUCUCCUGAAGGAACGUUGAAGACGACGACGUUGAUAGGCCGGGUGUGUAAGCGCAGCGAUGCGUUGAGCUAACCGGUACUAAUGAACCGUGAGGCUUAACCUUACAACGCCGAAGCUGUU
This 2930-nucleotide ribosomal RNA is filed under the name Enterobacter bugandensis. RNAcentral's name for it is "bacterial LSU rRNA". It matches the Rfam family "Bacterial large subunit ribosomal RNA". The record is from RNAcentral. Lineage: Bacteria; Pseudomonadati; Pseudomonadota; Gammaproteobacteria; Enterobacterales; Enterobacteriaceae.